GAUGAACGCUGGCGGCGUGCCUAACACAUGCAAGUCGAGCGAUUCUCUUCGGAGAAGAGCGGCGGACGGGUGAGUAACGCGUGGGUAACCUGCCCUGUACACAUGGAUAACAUACCGAAAGGUAUGCUAAUACGAGAUAAUAUGCUUUUAUCGCAUGGUAGAAGUAUCAAAGCUUUUGCGGCACAGGAUGGACCCGCGUCUGAUUAGCUAGUUGGUAAGGUAACGGCUUACCAAGGCGACGAUCAGUAGCCGACCUGAGAGGGUGAUCGGCCACAUUGGAACUGAGACACGGUCCAAACUCCUACGGGAGGCAGCAGUGGGGAAUAUUGCACAAUGGGCGAAAGCCUGAUGCAGCAACGCCGCGUGAGCGAUGAAGGCC
This 379-nucleotide ribosomal RNA is filed under the name uncultured bacterium. RNAcentral describes it as "bacterial SSU rRNA". It matches the Rfam family "Bacterial small subunit ribosomal RNA", at positions 28 to 416 of the family's 1533-position model. The record is from RNAcentral.